This 459-nucleotide ribosomal RNA is filed under the name uncultured bacterium. Its description in RNAcentral is "partial 16S ribosomal RNA". It matches the Rfam family "Bacterial small subunit ribosomal RNA", at positions 338 to 795 of the family's 1533-position model. The record is from RNAcentral.
CCUACGGGAGGCAGCAGUGAGGAAUAUUGGUCAAUGGACGCAAGUCUGAACCAGCCAUGCCGCGUGCAGGAAGACGGCUCUAUGAGUUGUAAACUGCUUUUUUACGAGGGUAAAUCCCGAUACGUGUAUCGGGUUGAAAGUAUCGUACGAAUAAGGAUCGGCAGACUCCGUGCCAGCAGCGGCAGUAAUACGGAGGAUUCAAGCGUUAUCGGGAUUUAUUGGGUUGAAAGGGUGGGCAGGGGGUCUGUUAAGUCAGCGGUAAAAGCCCGGGGCUCAACCCCGGCCCGCAGUUGAAACUGGCAGUCUCGAGUUGGGGAGAGGUAUGCGGAAUGCGGGGUGUAGCGGUGAAAUGCAUAGAUAUCGCGCAGAACUCCGGUUGCGAAGGCAGCAUGCCGGCUCCACACUGACGCUGAGGCACGAAAGCGUGGGUAUCGAACAGGAUUAGAUACCCGAGUAGUC